RNAcentral lists this ribosomal RNA (844 nucleotides) under Penicillium corylophilum. RNAcentral describes it as "eukaryotic LSU rRNA". It matches the Rfam family "Eukaryotic large subunit ribosomal RNA", at positions 72 to 930 of the family's 3401-position model. The record is from RNAcentral. Lineage: Eukaryota; Fungi; Ascomycota; Eurotiomycetes; Eurotiales; Aspergillaceae.
GGAUUGCCCCAGUAACGGCGAGUGAAGCGGCAAGAGCUCAAAUUUGAAAGCUGGCCCCCUCGGGGUCCGCAUUGUAAUUUGCAGAGGAUGCUUCGGGAGUGGCCCCCAUCUAAGUGCUCUGGAACGGGCCGUCAUAGAGGGUGAGAAUCCCGUAUGGGAUGGGGUGUCCGCGACCAUGUGAAGCUCCUUCGACGAGUCGAGUUGUUUGGGAAUGCAGCUCUAAAUGGGUGGUAAAUUUUCAUCUAAAGCUAAAUAUUGGCCCGGAGACCGAUAGCGCACAAGUAGAGUGAUCGAAAGAUGAAAAGCACUUUGAAAAGAGAGUUAAAAAGCACGUGAAAUUGUUGAAAGGGAAGCGCUUGCGACCAGACUCGCCUACGGGGUUCAGCCGGUAUUCGUACCGGUGUACUUCCCCGUGGGCGGGCCAGCGUCGGUUUGGGCGGCCGGUCAAAGGCCCUCGGAAUGUAACGCCUCUCGGGGCGUCUUAUAGCCGAGGGUGCCAUGCGGCCAGCCCGGACCGAGGAACGCGCUUCGGCACGGACGCUGGCAUAAUGGUCGUAAGCGACCCGUCUUGAUACACGGACCCAAGGAGUCUAACAUCUUACGCGAGUGUUCGGGUGUCAAACCCGUGCGCGCAGUGAAAGCGAACGGAGGUGGGAACCCUCACGGGUGCACCAUCGACCGAUCCUGAUGUCUUCGGAUGGAUUUGAGUAAGAGCGUAGCUGUUGGGACCCGAAAGAUGGUGAACUAUGCCUGAAUAGGGCGAAGCCAGAGGAAACUCUGGUGGAGGCUCGCAGCGGUUCUGACGUGCAAAUCGAUCGUCAAAUUUGGGUAUAGGGGCGAAAGA